Long non-coding RNA from Zeugodacus cucurbitae (melon fly), 1102 nucleotides. RefSeq lists it as uncharacterized. NCBI's taxonomy places the organism in Eukaryota, Metazoa, Arthropoda, Insecta, Diptera, Tephritidae. The record is from RefSeq and is a predicted model, not a curated record. The transcript is spliced from 3 exons.
CUCAAGAUACUUUUUAGUAUUUCGGGGCAUUUCAUUGAGUUCGCACCAUAGUCUGCGGUAGAAAAGUCAACUCUAUUAAAAUGAAAAUCAAGUGCCUUAGUUUUGUUAUUGUGUGUUACAGCCGUUUUAUCAGACACUCCAUAUGAGUUAUAUCAGCGUGUGGCAUACGCUCUCAUUUGAACCACGGUUUAUAACUUAUUUCUCUUCACGCACAUUUAGAAAUCUCAGAUGAUACUCAUCCCUUCGUGAAAAUUGGUAGAAAGAAAAAAAUUUGUAACAUUUGAAUCAUGUUAAAUGAAUUGGGUCGCGACCGCAAAUCUCUGUCAACGAUAUAACAGUGACUUGGCAACAAUCGAUUCUGAAACCAAAUUGAAUUAUCUAGUACAUUCAUAGUUAUAAUAGUUAAAAAUGACCUAACAAACAAACAUUUUUGGCUUGGCGGCAACGAUUUGGCAGAGGAAGCCGGACAAUUGCAAUGAAUAGGAUGGUUUUAGUGUUAGUAAAAUAGUUUAUAUGAACGACUUAUCCUGCAGUGAAGAUUGCCAUCCGAUAUGUGAAAUUCGAAGAGCACCGAAAACGUAUAAACAAGACGAAUGUGAGAACAUAUCUAUGAAGUGUGCAUUAAAGACACUCGAUCAAGAAUUUAUUCGAGCCGAAAGAACAUUUUAUUUCAGAGCUUAAAUAAAAACUCGAAUACCUAUGUAUGUAGGAGCGAAGUGCAGUUUCAGUAAAUUCCAUACACACUAUUAUAAUGAGAACAUUAAUUGUUAUUUUAAAUGAAUUGAGCUGACUUUGUGGAACUAAAAACAGAAAAUUUCUUCUGUGUUCUUCAUAUUCAUGGUGACGCAAACAACCGUUAUGUAAACAAAACUAUAAUACCCUGUACAACAUUUUGCGAGAGAAUAUAGGUGGCACAUCCGAAAUAACUUCCCAAGAAAAUGUAACCAAUCAGAGUGCCUAUAAAGUCUCAAUCUGCAGGUGGAAAAGCUUUAUUAGAGCCACUGAUGUGUGUUUUCAACAGACACCUUCGCGGUUUUCUGUAGUCUUUAAGUCGACCCUACCAUGCGAACGAAGGUCUAAAUAUGACAGAGAAGGGGCUGUU